UUUUAUUCAUCAUCGUACGAUUACAAAUACAUGAAUGUUACAUGCUCCCAUUGGAGUUUGCCUAUUUUGCCUUCUGCGACUAUGCUUAAGGAGUAUCUGACUUGGAAGAUUGCGUGUAGUCCGCUGAUUCCCGGUGCUUUUGCAAAGCGUCCGGUUAAUUACAUCUGCAGGUCAAGCCUAUAGAAAACCUCCGAUUAAGCUGGGCGCGGUCGUCGUCGUGAAAUUUGCUCAUCCAUAAUGCAUGUGGGAUGUUUGGAGAAAAGAUGUAGAUGGUGGUGAUACGUAGGUGCGGGUGGCUUUGUUUUGCCUGAACCCAGUCACGAUACGCCAUCGCCAUGUCGGUAUUUAGAACGGAAUUUGUUGAUGAAGAUGGUGACCUUUGCCUUGUCGGUGCCCAGUCAUGUAUCCAAGAAUUCAUCGAACAUGGACAUGUGUAUGUUGCUUUCGCCUCAUCGGUGCCCAGCAACGAAGUGUCCGAUCCCGUUUGGGAUUGUGACAUGUUAAUGGAAUAUAGUGAGCUGGCCGUGUUGGCACUUGGACAUGAUUUCGUCUAGCCUUGUCGGCACUAGACAUGAGAUGGGUAUGAUGGAUUUGACCAUAACCACAUGGAGAUUAGGCCAUAGAUUUGAGAUAGACCAUUGAUAGAGCAUGUCUUUUCUCCUUUAUUUUAAGAAUCAGGGGUUGCACACCGCCGACAUAGAUGAAGCAAUCGAUGAUGUAUUUUUUGUGAGGAUUUUCAUCUACUCCGCAUGGGCGACGUUGAUGAAGCGAUCGUGCCAUGGUCGUAGGUUUCCGCAUGGGCGACGUUGGUGAGGCGGUCGUGCCAUGGUUGUAUAUUUUUACAUGGGCGACUUUGAUGAGGCGGUCGUGCCAUGGAUGUAAAUCUCCGCAUGGGCGACGUUGAUGAGGCGGUCGUGCCAUGAUUGUAUANNNNNNNNNNNNNNNNNNNNNNNNNNNNNNNNNNNNNNNNNNNNNNNNNNNNNNNNNNNNNNNNNNNNNNNNNNNNNNNNNNNNNNNNNNNNNNNNNNNNNNNNNNNNNNNNNNNNNNNNNNNNNNNNNNNNNNNNNNNNNNNNNNNNNNNNNNNNNNNNNNNNNNNNNNNNNNNNNNNNNNNNNNNNNNNNNNNNNNNNNNNNNNNNNNNNNNNNNNNNNNNNNNNNNNNNNNNNNNNNNNNNNNNNNNNNNNNNNNNNNNNNNNNNNNNNNNNNNNNNNNNNNNNNNNNNNNNNNNNNNNNNNNNNNNNNNNNNNNNNNNNNNNNNNNNNNNNNNNNNNNNNNNNNNNNNNNNNNNUGGUUGUAUAUUUUUACAUGGCCGACUUUGAUGAGGCGGUCGUACCAUGGAUGUAAAUUUUACAUGGUCGACUUUGAUGAGGCGGUCAUGCCAUGAUAAAGAUUUAUGGAAUAGCCAAGUAGACAUCAUUCUUCUUCCAUCACACAAAGCUCAUUGAUGCGGUCAGAUCUUACAACUUACCAUCAAGGCCAAUGGUUUUGGCAAAGAUCAGCAUGUUGAUGAAGCUUCGGCGGCGUCGUCCGCGGUCGACGAAACUGUUACGGUGAAGAUUGAGAAGGGGAUUUUGGCAAAGAUCAGCAUGUUGAUGAAGCUUCGGCGGCGUCGUCCGCGGUCGACGAAACUGUUACGGUGAAGAUUGAGAAGGGGAAGCGUGGAGUUGGCGGCGUGCUUGAGGGCGAGAGCUUUGGCUGGUGUGCGUGGAGCCUGUCGGCGUGGAUGCGUUUUGUACGUGCCUCCUGGCGUGCCUCCUCUUGAACGAGGGCUGGCGAUGCUUUAUAUAGGGGCCGGCCGUGGCUUCGAUCACGUCGGUUCGUUGAAGCCGUGUGAGUUUAAACUGGCCAGGAUUCUAUCUCCAGCAGACUUGGCGUCUACGUAUAUGAUUUUCUCAUGCAAAAUCGUAUCUAAACGGAUUACUGCUGCUCCCAACUAAAUCACCGGCAACGUCGCAAUAUGGGUCUUGUCUGUCACGUGUUUAGGCAACCGGCCAAAGGUACUAAUUAAUUUCUUAAUUAAGCCGAUAGUUGGAGACUGUACGAGGCCAUGUAACAUGCACUGGCGAUAGUAAAUCUGGCUAGCUUUGUACGUUCAUGUCCAUCCUUCUUUGAUGAUUAUUUCUUUCAGAUCCAAGAAUUAGACUUUAAUCUUUUUGCACCACUGUAGUCUACACGAUGAACUCUACAAAUAGAGUAUAAUAUUUGAUAUAUUCUCUUUCUUAGAAUUUACUAGCACGUGGGACCCACACGUCAUAGGGUGGCAUUUUUAUAAAUCCAAGCUAUAUUUUUUUUUCACAUAUAUGCUCAUAUUUAUUUGUACGUCGGUCCACCAUGGCUCAUAUAAAUAAUUCGGACUUAGCGCGCACAAAAAUCCAUCAAACAAAUGCCCCCCACCGAGUAUAUUUCAUGCGCGAAGCAGCAUGGAAUAGACUCGGUGAAAAAAAUCUGAGUAAUAGGCAUAUAUACUGCAUCUUGCAACCUGUACUGCCUGUGAUUAGAGUUUAACCCGAGCAAGAAUUGUUUAAAACCCGCAGGGAAGUCCUCUGCCGGGAAAAGACGCAUUAGUAUUGGACUCAAACCAGGACAAGAAGCCUUGUUGCAUAUACUCUCUUUAUAUAGAGACGCCCCCUGCUUGAUUGUUUCUCAAACAUCGUCAUUGUUUCUAGCAUACUGUUGACACGGGAUGGCCGGGCCACCAAAGGAAAAGCAGCGCCACCAACCGUCCCACAUUGUGACAUGAAGAAGAGAGAAAAGAAAAGAGAGAGAAAAAUGGUAGCGAAUAUCCGUGCUAUCAUUCAAUUACACUUCCAAGAAAAUAAAAACAAUUACACUAGAGUAUGAUGAAAUAACCAUACCAUAUGCUAGAGAGGGAGAGAGAAAUUCUUCCACUGCGACCAGAUGUAUGGUGCCAGCCAAUGGUUGAAACCUUUGGCGUUUUCUUCUUGUAGAAAUUGCCGCCGGCCAAGAAAUAUUUAUCAAGUUUGAUGCGACCUUAAAGCUAAAAGGUGCCAGCCAUCACACUUGAAGGGUUUCACAGAUUCACACUGACCGCACUGGCGUGCUUCACUACUCCCGAAAAUUGAAGUGUUGAUGCACUAGAAAGACAUUAGUAGCUCACUUGUAGAAUGUUGAGUCGGAAUAUCAUCGACUAUGUGAAUGGACUAGGAGGUAAUGUUGCCCCCAGUGUCAUUUUUGCGACUGUUGGGGAGAUGAUGCCCCGAGUGGUGAUGCACAUAUCGGUAUAGAUCGUCGAAAUGCCAUCGACGAUUCUUGUUUGAGGAAAUUUUGCCCCCAUGACGGGAUGCUUGAUGAUAGCUACACAAGGUCAUUAGGAGAAAAAAAGCAACCUCAAAAAACUAGCCAAAAUUAAAACAAGGCAAAAAAGGUUUUUUUUUUGUUUUGGAAUGUUGGCUUUCCCGUUUAACGCUAGCUAUAAUCGUGACAUCAGAAAAGGCAACCAAAGGGCUUAGUCAUCAGGAAUCGUCGAAAGGCCAUGACGAUUAUAACUUAGCCUCAAUUAGUGUGUGUGUAAAACAACAUGCUUCCAUGAUGCUCUCAGGAGACAAUGGGGAUUCAUACCCUAGACUUCAUAGGACUGAGUAACCCCACGGCUCCACCAUGCCCCCCGCACAUGCCCCAAGAACUCAGAGACAUAGGUGAGGGUAAUUUAGGAAAUUGGGUUAUAGGAGAAUGGCUUGGCGAUUUUUCAUGCCCAUGUUGAGGGGUGGAACACAACUACCCUCCUCCUUCUUUCCAGUGGUUCCCCUAGCAUGAUAAGGACUUGCAUCUUGGAGACUUGGACUUCAGGAAUUUUGGUAACUUUCCUCUUGUUUUGUCGAAGGAUUACUUGCACUUCUUGAACUUUUCACUGGACUUUCUCUUUAUAUAUAUUUUUUGAAUAUAUCGCACCUCUCGUCAUAGCUUCUUUGGUGUUUGCUAGGGAACCCACCUUCAGAACUCGGAAAGUAGUUGCACACCUUUGUGGACUAAGUAAACCCUCAAAGGCAUAUUUUGGCUAUGGUGGAACACCCUGGAGGUGUCAAGACGCUCUACACUAAAAGCAACUUCUGUUGACCAGGUAGGCUCUUCUUGCUCUUUUCCCUAUAGUUUUCCCCAGGGUGUUGUGCCCUUGUGAACUCAAAACAUGGUAGGGAACAUGAGGAGUAUGGGGACUCAGUACACAGAAGUAGCCCAAGUAAUUUUCUCCACGCCUUCUGAAAGCAUACACUUGGCAUGUGUUGUGUGUUGUGUGGGUAUGGCGCCGCUCCACUUUUUAUGCCUGACACAAAGUGUCGCCUUCAGACCAGCCCUAAGGCAACCUAGUCUUCAACCACUAGCAUGGCGUGUUUCAGGGAAAGCCAUUUUAAUGUAGGACAAUUGCGUCCAUGGUUUUGUAAAACACUUUUUUUAAGAGAGAAGAAAAAAAAUCAAAGGAAAGAAACGAGAGAAAAAAAUGCGGAAGUAGUCAGGCCUAGUAUUUCUUCAGGAACCUCCCAUUAAUAAGGGGCAUGGGAUGAACUCCAUGUUGUUCAAACAACAGAUAAGCUCCGCCGUCAUAGACUUGCUCAAUCAUAAAUGGCCCUUCCCAUUUAGGCUCUAGUUUUCCUUUAGCUUUUCCUGAAACCGCAAUGGGGCGCCUUAGUAUGAGCAAUAGUUCGUACAACAAAAGAAUACUCAAAGAAUUCAUCCUGAGUUAAUAUUUCCUCGAGCGAUUAAAGACAAUGCUUAGAUCACCCUGAUGUUGCAGGUGAUCUUUGGUUUUUACAACCAGGUCAUCAAUAUAACAUUCCACAGAGUUAUGAAUGAGAUCAUCCAGUACCAUGGUCAUUGCCCGUUGGUACGUUGCACCAGCAUUUUUUAGUCCAAAAGGCAUUACUGUGUAAUAGAAAUUACCUUUCGAAGUUCGAAAAGCGGUGUCUAUUGCAUCAUUUUCGUUCAUCUUGAUUUGGUUAUAACCUGAUGGCCCAUCCAUGAAGGAUAAGGCACCAUAACCUAUAGUGGCAUCAACGACCAUCUCAGUGAUGGGUAUAGGAAAAUCAUCUUUGGGACAAGCACGAUUUAAAUCUCUAAAAUCAACACAGAUUCGCAAUUGUCCAUUCUUUUUUAUAACAGGGACAAUAUUAGCUAACCAGCGCGGGUAUUGUACCUCUUUUAUGAAUCCGGCGGCAAUAAGCCUAUCCACCUCGAUAAUAAUGCCAUCUUGUAGUUCUGGGCGAAAGCGGCGCGGAUGCUGCUUUACUGGCCUGAACUUAGGAUCAAUAGCGAGUUUAUGUGUGGCGACUCGAGGGUCGAGCCCUGGCAUUUCUUUGUAGGUCCAUGCGAAGCAGUCCCAAAACUCCAUCAAGAAUUGUCGGUAACUUUCCCUUUCCUGUGAAGUGAGGGUGGCACUAACAAAGGUAGGACGUGGAUCCUCCUCUGUACCAAGAUUGAUUUCAACUAGCUCAUCAAUAGUACAUUGCCCACCGUCUUCAAGCUGCGAAGGGGCGGGAGCAGCAUCAAGUACCUCUCCCUGUUUAAUUGUCAUGGCAUUAUGAACCUGAGAUAGAAGAUAGUGUUCAUUUCUCAUUUCAUAGUGUGCAUUUGCAGCAGCAUAGAAUGAACGAAACUGAUGAGAAUUUUGAUAUAUAUAAUUGCCAUCAUCCUCAUCAGAUGUUGUUUCUUGCUCUUCCCUACCUUGGUCAUGACUUAUGUUCACCAUAUUGCACAUAAAUUUGUGCUUAUCAUCACAUUCUUCAUCCUCGCUUUCAGAAGAUUCUGAGCAGACAUAGCCCAAACCAUACUUCGGUUGGCUUUUCUUAUUCUUCUUUUUAAUGAAUCUUUCUGCUUGAUCCUACCACACCUCGCAAAUGGCAGGCGGUGAUGGUAACCUGCAAUUUUGAAGUUUAAUUCCUGAUUGCUCUAAUAAGUGAACCAUUCUAGGUUCAACUUUCAUAGUAAUCAAUGUUUCCUUGGUAUUGAAACCAGAGGGGUAGAAAUGGAUUAUAGAGUCGUAAGGUUGUACUCGUGGUACCUUAUAAAAAAGUGUAGGGCAAGAGUUCUUGUAUUGACCUGGGAUCAAGCGAACCUCCAAUGGUAUUGAGACGGAUACAUACAUUGAUGGGGGUUGUUUAAGCACAUCUCCCUUUGUUUUCUCUAUUUCGCCCACCCUUCUCUUUACUCUCCCCUCUGCUAGUGUCACCUUUUCGACAAGAGGGUUUGCAGGUGCAUGUAAUACCUUAGAGGGAGACACGUCACUCGUACUAGUAAAGAGUCCAAGAACUCCUGCAGAUGGAGAAUUCAGAUUAAUUAUAUUUUGAAGUGCCAUAGGUGUUAGAAGAGAGAAAGAUUCAUUAUUUUUUCUAUGAGGCUCGGUAGAGGGCUCAGAUACAGACCUCAGUAAGAGUGGAGUUGGAGUAGUAGCCUCCGCAUUCGAUGAUAAUUGCGGGGUUUGUAAUGUGGUGGUGGUGUAUCCCUCCUUCCCAAAAGGGAAGGGCUCAUAUCGACGGGUCAUGGAAGGUCUUCCUAUUCCACGACCCCUUCCUCCAUGUGAAGGCAUUCUCCUUGAAGAGUGUUUGGUGUAUGAGGGUUCUGUCUCUGACAAUGGGAUAGAGUCGGGUGUGAUGAGUAUAUCCGCUGGAGGCGCUACUCAUCCUUGUUGAGUGUGUGGGUCCUCACUUGGGAAGUAGUAUUUCGCAUCGGCAUGAUGUGCCUCCUGAAUGGUAUAUGGAUUAACAUUACUGGCUAUUCGGUGUUGCUCACCACUUUCAUCAGCAAAUUUCAGCCAUUGAUGUAGUGUCGAGGGGACCACUUGGUACUUGUGUAUCUAUGGUCUACCCAAUAAUGUUGAGUAGGAGGUGUUUGCCUCUAUAACAAAGAAGCGUACCUUAAAACUAAAAGAUGACAUUUGGAUUUUCAAUGUGAUAGAACCUAAUGCUGAUCUUCCCUGAUUAUCAAAACCGCAUAUCACCACCUCUGUUGGUUCUAGGUCAUCAGUGGUGAAGCCAGCGCGAGUCAAGCCACGAACUAGGAGAAUGUUGACAGCGGAACUAGGAUCAAUGAGGAUGUGUCUCAAGUGAGCGUAUCCAAUGGUCCCUUCUAUGUAAAGUGGGCGAUUAUGAUUGUCAUCCAUCACCACUUUAUCUUCUUCAGAAAAGGUGAUCUCAUUUGCACUCAACUCAUUGCACAAUAUUCUAUGCUUUGCCAUUGUUACUUCAAAUAAUUCUGGAUUUUGUAAUGCUUGAACGAGAGCAUGUCGUAGUUCAAGCACCAACAUUAGUGCAUCAUAGACACUUAAAAGUGCUGGAAUACGUUUCAAGUGUGCUACUAUGUUGUAAUCUAUUUUGGGAGAUGCACCAUCAGCAUCUCCUGGAGCUUCUUGCGCGGUGCCAUUUUUUGGAUCAUCCAUUUUUUUCCUCUUACAACCCUUUUAGGUUGGGUCUUAUGAGGGUCAGGUAGAAAUUUUCCUCCUCGCAAGUUCAUAUGGACUUCUAGUUCAGACUCAUGAGAUGAGCUUUCUGCUUGUAGGACUUCUCUUUCAAGUGGCAUUACUGUGUCCUCAGAUGAGGAGCUACUUGACGUAGCAUAGUUUAGCACAACAUUGCAAGAAACCUUGUUAAAGGACAACACAGGAACUACUUCCUUUGUUUCCUCCUCCAUCGUGGGGCCAACUCUCUGCCCCCAGUUACGGGGCAUGAAUUGCUCUAAAGUGGGAAGUGCACAGCCUGGUCUAGGGAAUGACUCAUCUCCCUCAGACUCGGGCACAAAUCUUGGUGGCAUGCGACGCAUGCUCAGAUUAUGCCACUUGACUGACAACUUUGUAGUAUGUUGAUAAUACGGCACAAAACGUGGUCCCCGCUUGUGUAGCUGCUUUGAUGAAGGCUCAUAAGGUCUUGCCUCUCGUGCUACUCUUUCUCUAGCCCCAAAGGUCUGAUGAGUGACCCCUAGACCAGUGAACCUCUCUUCAACAUGGGAUAACGGCAGCCAUAGAUCCUCUUCCUGGGUGAAACGUGAGUCUGUCAUUACUACAUUCACAGCAUGGUAAUUCGGAUUUAUAGCAUCAGGCUGUAUUUGGAGUCUUUUUUCAUCAAUGGCUCGUUGGAGCCAUUCCUUGAAAGCAACACAGUCCUCAACGACGUGCCCUACAUAUUGAUGAUAUGGACAAUAUAGAGCAUUGUCCUUCAUAGAUACUUGGUCAGGACGUUUUGGUUCUGGGAGGUUUAAGUGGUUAUGGGCCAUCACUUGAUUGAAGAAAUCUUUGAUCAUCUCUCGGCGGAAUAUGUAUUGCUUUCUAAGAAGUUCUUGGAUGGAGGGUCGUUGUCUUGCCCCUGCAGAUUCAUUUCUUGUGCCUAGCAUGGGCACAUUACUUUGUUGUACUGCUCUAGUGGUGUUAGCCUCAUUGGAAUUUUUAGGCUUAGCCACAUUAUUAUUUGGUUUUGUCGUUGCGUUAAAUCUCCUGGUAUGAUCAUGUGUGCUAGCAUUCUUAUACAACUCCAUGAUUUGAGGAGACUUCUCAAAUUCUAGCUUGGUUGCUUCCACAGCCAAGCUGAGUGCACUAAAUGUUUUAGGUUCGCGCCGAGAUACCUCGAGCGACCAAUGUUGUUGCAUUCCAUGGAUGCACAUUUCAAUGGCAUCCUCAGUAUGCAUUUCUCUUGCAAGGCGCACAAAGCUAUUGCAAAAUCUUACUAUAUAGUCGUCAAUCUUUUCAUCAUGCCUCUGUCGAACUUGGGCCAGCUCGAUUACUGAGAAAUCCUUUUUCAUUGUGACAAAAUGAGCUUUAAAGAUAUUCUUCAUGCUUUUCCAAUCAGGAAUAGAGCCCACAGGGAGGCGACUAUACCAAUGAAAGGCAGGACCGGUCAAAGAACCUGAGAAUUGCCGCAAUAGUAGUGAGGGGUUGCGAGCAGUAUCUCCACAUGUUGCCUCAAAAUAGGCUAGGUGCUCUCUUGCAUCUCCGGUUCCAUCAAACUGGCGGCACUUGGGUGGAUGCCACCCCGCGGGGAAGGCGAUGAGAUCAUGCCAUGAUUCAUAUGGUUUGUCAAUCUCACUCUCAGAAGUUUGAGGGGCUUGUUCUGCAGCAAUCUGUUUCAUUUUUUGGUUAACCAUGUCCUCAAUGAUGCUAUGAUAGCCUCUCAACAUAUCUGGCUGAGUUGAAGGACUAUUAGCUAGAACAGCGGUACUAGCAAGAAUUUGUUGGGCAUUCCUAGUGGCCUCUGUUGCCCUCUGAGAACGAGCAGUGGCUUCCAAUUCCUCCACCUAUGGAUCAAUGACCCUUUGGGUGGGAACUCGAGGCAGAUUCUGACCCGAGCCAGUAAAGAGAUCAAAUAGUUGAUCAAACUUUAAUGUUAGUUGAUCCAAUUGUUGUUGUUGUGUUCGUAGUUGCAUCUCUAUAUGUUGGUCACGCGACCCUGAUGCAGUCGUGUCAGUAUACAAAUUUCCUAUUUCUUCCCCAUCUUUUGGUUCACCCUCUUGUGUUCCAGCACCGUCCACAUGUGUCAUGUGAGCCGGCACAAUGUUUUCAUCUUCAGGUUCACAUUUAUCUUCCGAGACAAUGGAACGUGCAAGUUCAGAGUAGGGAGGUGACCGCGAGAGUUCUUGCAAUGAUGAGCUAGAGUUUGUAUCGGAAUCUUCACUUCGAUAGUCUUGCUCUUCUGAAUGAGGAGGACCAUUAUAAAUUCUUUGUGAGGCGAUUGAUUUCAAACGAGUCGCCAUACCUUGGCGCUCUAGAUAUUCUCGAAGCAAGACUGGGUCUUGUGGAAGGCGUGAUGAAAGAAUAACAUAAGGUCGAGAAUAACUUCUCGAUUCUUGUUGUGGCUGCUCAGUAGAAGGAGUGGAUUGUCCAUCUGUAAUAGGAAAACAGGGUGCAGUCGAGGAUGAUGCCAUUUCCUCAUUACCUUCCUCUUUUUCAGAACCUUUAAACCAACCACGGACCUUCCCUAGCUGCGGCAGGAAAUUCUUAGAAAACGAUGCCUUUGGGUUCGGCAUGAUCUCUUCAUCGGAAGGAUAAGAGAAAUCUUUUUGAACUGGAGGUGGAACCCAGUUUUCACGACUAUCAUGUUCAGCAUGCGCUGUCAAGGUGCCACACAUCACUGUGUCUUUUGCACCCUUGUUUUUAUCCUUUGAAGUUUCGUCCAUGGAGUGCGGACUUCUUUCCACAUCACCUUCAUGAGGGGAUGAUGUCGAGUUAUGUUUUGGUUCUAUAGUCUCUGCUAUGCCAUCAUUGUUUUGGUCAGUUUCCUGUGGGGGGCUUGUCGAACUAUCUUUCUUUUCAUCUGUCUCCAUGUGAUCUAUUGAUGAUUGUGAUUUUAAUUCAGUGGUACCCUUAAGAAGGGCUAAUGUAGAUGUUUUCUUAUCAGUGCCUUCUGAAGGGGUCGGAGUAGAACUUUCAACGCGUGCUUCUGGCCCUUGGCCUAUUGUGUCACCUUGUUGUCAUGACUUUGGUAUAAGACACUCAACGAGGUAGUUGUACCUCUCAUUUUGAAGUAGUGUUGGGGAGAGUUUCAAAGUAAUUUUGUCAUAGAAUGGGUGCACACGGCCAUCCGACCUGACUCGUACAUGAACAUUGCCGAGCACAAGUUCAUGCAACUCUUGAUAGAGUGCUCGACGAUUCUUUCUGCGCUAAUCGCGCUUGUAUUGGUUGGCUGCACUAGGGUAUGGAGCUCUUGCUGGAAUAGCUGGAGUCGGAAGAAGCGGUGCAGCUUCUUGAGAAUUUAUCAAGGACGGUGUUAAAGAAGGCGACACACCGAUUUUUGUGUUUUGCGAAGAUUGAGGUGGAGCGGGCACUUUCUUUUCUUGCCCCCUGCUUUCACUUGGCCAUGAUGGACGUACAUUGUUCUCAUGGAGGUGUUCAUGGGGAAAUUGCUCCCGUCUCGAGGACACCGGUCGCCAUUCUUGGCAUGACCAAGCGUUCCAAUGAGGGGGUAGCUCUGUUUGUCUCGGUCGAUAGGACGAAGUAGUGGGCGAGCUGCGACGAGGUGCCCAAGUAUUGCGAUCAUGUUGUGGACGAUAACUAGGAACAUGGCGUCUAGCUUCACCCUGCUGCGAUGACUCAGGUGCUUGCGAAAAGUUUCCACGAGCUUGAAACCUUGACCUAACCCCAUCACGGGAUGGAGGCAGAGGUUGGGAUUGGUAUUGGCCAGGAGCAUGGUGUCUUGGGGCGCCCCCGACAUGCGAGGGUGGCUGAUUUACUUGUUGUUGGAGCAUUCUCAAUUGAGAUUGCAGCUGCUGCAAUUGGCGUUGAAGAUCAUUAGAGCGAGGCGCUGGUGCCUCAUUGGAUAGUACAUCAAACUUAUUUUCACUUCUGUUAUCGCCAGUUGUAAUGUGACAUGCCGAGACUAGCACAGCUGGAUUGAAAUGAUUCAACUCACUGACGAUGGAUGGGUUACAUCCUGGAAAACUAGUGGCACGCUUUAGAGUGCGCGUCCAGAACUCGUUCAUGAUCGCUUGCCUAACAAGCUCUUUCAUCCGAUGUGGUCUGUCGAUCCACUGAAUCGGGGAAAGGACAUAGGGCUCAUUUACUGGAUCUGGAUAUUUUGUUUCAUCCUCCAGUGAUGAAGUAUCUGUUUCUGCAAAAUCAUCGCUCAACUGAGCAUGUAACUUUUUAAUUUGACUACGCUUGCGUCGAUAGUUGCGCAGUGAGUUAGCAUUUUUGUUUGAUCUUGCAUUGCGCACAGACCAAGACAAGUGAUAAGUAGCCAUAUCGAGCAUCUCCAAGAGCUUAGUUUUUUUUUUCUUGCAUGACUGUGGAAGGCGAGCUUGGCGUAUUGGCGGCAGUGUUUUUUAGCAGAUUGCGAGCCUCAAUGAUAAGAGCCUGGCGUUCUUCCUUAUCCUUAGCAGCAGCAUGUUUUUUGGCCUUCUUUGUUUCAGCGGUAUGGAGGAACGUCGGGUCCAGCGUCGGGUGAUAGUGGGUCUUGCUUCCAUGUUCGAUGCCUACCAUAGGAGGUAGCGAUCCAAACUGGAGCACACUUGGAGUUGAAGUUUGUCUCAUAGCCUGCUCCAUGGUGAUGACAGGGAAGGACUCACCUACAAAAGGGAAUCCUUCCAUUAGUAUGCCUUUGUAAUAUACAUGCUCAUCAAAACAUUAUAUAAGCAAGAAUUGAUCAUAUCAAUCAAUUGCUUAAGUACAAGACAAAUAUUCUUUCCCACGGGUAUUCUUGGGCCCUUUUUUUUUACCCAUCCAUAUUGAGCAUAGCUUCAAUAUAACAACAUACAUCUCAGUACGGAUGUUGAUUGAUGAUUUUUUUUAUUCAAAGAUUAUCUUGUGCACUUCUUUGAGAAAAUAGAGCACCGACAAGGCAUAGGUGUCUGACCAAGGCUAUUUUUUUAUCGCACCAGCCAAUAUUCAUGAGUGCUGGAAUUUCUUUCUCGAGUCAAAGUACCAUCGUGUCAUAUUUUGGAUGAUCAGGUCGAAGACAAGACACGAGGAUAGAUGGAAAAGUUUUGUGCCAUGCAAGGUUUAGUACAUGCAUGGAGCAUUAGGAUGGUACGUGUAUGACUCGUGUACGCGCAUGAUGCAUGCAUGCAUGCCAGAUGUUUAGACAAGUAACUCAUCUCUUUCAUUCAGACACAAAAUGUCUUAUGUAUGAUAAUUUAGACAGAGGAAGAAGAAUAGAAGUUCUGUGUCAUCAGGCAUUUCUUUCAGCAUUGAGAACCAUAGCACGGAAGGGAAGGAAGGUCCGUGAGUGUGCAUGCAUAUUUUUUUUAAGAAAAAAGUAGAUGCAACACAAGAGGGACGCGUGCAUGCCUAUCAGAACCAGGCCUGUGCACAUCCGUUUUGUUUUAAGGACCACUCAUAGUAUUUCUCUUUACUGUUUCUUGCUUCAUCGAAUAGAACUUGUAGCAGAUCCCUCACACAAUACAUUCUGAAUUUCUCUAUUUUUUAUCACAUCAAAGAGAACUUGCAGAUCGGUUCAUGCAUCAAACCAAAUUUUGCUUCCGGCCAGCAAAAGAGAGCAAGAGAAGUUGGACGACGAUCAGAGCGCAGCGAAGAUGGGAGGAGAAUCAGGUCCCACCGGGCGUGCCAUUUUGUUUCGAAAACAAAAAUACAGGACAAACGCGGAAAUAAAUUAUGGGAACUUGUAUUUUAUUCAUCAUCGUACGAUUACAAAUACAUGAAUGUUACAUGCUCCCAUUGGAGUUUGCCUAUUUUGCCUUCUGCGACUAUGCUUAAGGAGUAUCUAGCUUGGAAGAUUGCGUGUAGUCCGCUGAUUCCCGGUGCUUUUGCAAAGCGUCCGGUUAAUUACAUCUGCAGGUCAAGCCUACAGAAAACCUCCGAUUAAGCUGCACGCGGUGGUCGUCGUGAAAUUUGCUCAUCCAUAAUGCAUGUGGGAUGUUUGGAGAAAAGAUGUAGAUGGUGGUGAUACAUAGGUGCGGGUGGCUUUGUUUUGCCUGAACCCAGUCACGAUACGCCAUCGCCAUGUCGGUAUUUAGAACGGAAUUUGUUGAUGAAGAUGGUGACCUUUGCCUUGUCGGUGCCCAGUCAUGUAUCCAAGAAUUCAUCGAACAUGGACAUGUGUAUGUUGCUUUCGCCUCGUCGGUGCCCAGCAAUGAAGUGUCCGAUCCCGUUUGGGAUUGUGACAUGUUAAUGGAAUAUAGUGACCUGGCCGUGUUGGCACUUGGACAUGAUUUCGUCUAGCCUUGUCGGCACUAGACAUGAGAUGGGUAUGAUGGAUUUGACCAUAACCACAUGGACAUUAGGCCAUAGAUUUGAGAUAGACCAUUGAUAGAGCAUGUCUUUUCUCCUUUAUUUUAAGAAUCAGGGGUUGCACACCGCCGACAUAGAUGAAGCAAUCGACGAUGUAUUUUUUGUGAGGAUUUUCAUCUACUCCGCAUGGGCGACGUUGAUGAAGCGAUCGUGCCAUGGUCGUAGGUUUCCGCAUGGGCGACGUUGAUGAGGCGGUCGUGCCAUGGUUGUAUAUUUUUACAUGGGCGACUUUGAUGAGGCGGUCGUGCCAUGGAUGUAAAUCUCCGCAU
Molecule: long non-coding RNA, 13944 nt
Filed under: Triticum aestivum (bread wheat)
Lineage: Eukaryota; Viridiplantae; Streptophyta; Magnoliopsida; Poales; Poaceae
Description: long non-coding RNA (TAES_LNC016945)
Source: RNAcentral